UGAGGAAUAUUGGUCAAUGGGCGGGAGCCUGAACCAGCCAAGCCGCGUGAGGGAAUAAGGCCCUACGGGUCGUAAACCUCUUUUGUCGGGGAACAAAACCGGAGACGAGUCUCCGGCUGCGUGUACCCGAAGAAAAAGCAUCGGCUAACUCCGUGCCAGCAGCCGCUGUAAUACAUGACU
This 180-nucleotide ribosomal RNA is filed under the name uncultured bacterium. Its description in RNAcentral is "partial 16S ribosomal RNA". It matches the Rfam family "Bacterial small subunit ribosomal RNA", at positions 355 to 533 of the family's 1533-position model. The record is from RNAcentral.